RNAcentral lists this small RNA (4215 nucleotides) under Pongo abelii (Sumatran orangutan). RNAcentral describes it as "retained intron". Lineage: Eukaryota; Metazoa; Chordata; Mammalia; Primates; Hominidae. The record is from RNAcentral.
GGUUUUGAUUUUUAAGAGCUGCCUCAGGAGGAGCAGGGGCCAUUUGGAGAAUUCCUCCUCGAACCUCUUGGGGUCCUGCUUAGUCCUCAUUAAACUCAGGCCAGGAAACAGCAGCACAUGCCAACUGGCCAAGGAGAAGCUACUUGGGCCCUGCCCAGGGUCUAUUGGGUAAACGUCUGUCCCUAGAGACAGACACUCACUCAUUCAGUCCUUUUUUUUUUUUUUUUCCCAGAGAUGGGGUCUUGCCCAGGCUGGAGUGCAGUGGUGCAUUCAUAGCUCACUGCAGCUGCAACCUCCUAGAUUCAAGCGAUCCUCCCACUUUUAGCCUCUUGAGCAUCUGGGACUACAGGCACGUGCCGUCGUACCUACCUGAUUUUUUUCUUUUUUUGUAGAGAUGGGGGUCUCACUAUGUUGCCCAGGCUGGUCUAGAACUCCUGGCCUCUAGGGGUCCUCCCAUCUCAGCCUCCUGAUGUGCUAGGAUUAUAAGUGUGAGCCACCACUCCUGGCCCCAUUCAUUCAUUCAUUCAUUCACUCAGUCACUCACACAUUCAACGGCCAUUUCCUGAGCACCUACUGUGUGCCCAGCACUGUGCUAGAUGCUGAAGGUACAACAGUGAGCCAUGCAAGCACAGCAGGGGACACUAGGGGAUGUUCUGCAGGGGACCCACACACAAGCAGCAUCCCAGCCACUCUGGGGCACAGGGACAGGCUUUCCCUAGGAAGUGGCAUCUGAGGAGGCCUGGAGGUUGAGUAGACAUCAUACAGGUUGGGGCGUGAGGGAAGGGUGUUCCUGGCAGCAGGAACAGUGUGCACAAAGGGGCUGGGGUGAGUGGGGCUGAAGGGAGCACAGACAGGCCAGCACUUGGAGGGAAGUUGGGGGCAGGCGCAGGCCAAGCUGGGUGGUUGGCAGAGCCAGAUCUGGAGGGUACCUGACUGGAGCUGGCGGGCCAACGGGGAGCCUGUCACUGCACCUAGGAGAUGGUGAAGAGGAAGGGGGUGGUGCUGGCAGAAAAGAGAGGAGUGGGGGGAUUCCAGAGAAUCCAGGAAUGGCAUUUCCAGGGCUCCACGACUGGGCACUGGGGGAAAGGUCUGCUUCUGAUGUCUGGUCGGUCUCUGGCUUGGAUGGAUGGUGGCGCCAUGGAUGGAUGGUGAGCUGAGAGGAGGGGACUCCCAGGGAGGAUGGCGAUGGGCAUCAGGUACACCCAGGCAGGCGUCCCAGGCAGGACUUGUCUUUGCGCUCCCAGGUCCUCUGCGACCUGGCUUCGUCUGGCUCCGUCCUUCUGCCCUCUACUCCCCUCCGCCCUGAGGACACCUGAGAGCUGAGGAACCCCACUACCCUCUGGAACCCACACCCGGGGAGGGCACAGGAGAGGUGGCACCUCCUCUGGCUGCCAGGCUGCCCAGCCAAGGCUGUUUCUGAUCAGCCUGCAUGCCUCUCUCUGGGCAGGGGCAGCUGCCCUGCUGCUCUUAGGGGGCAUCUAGUGGGGUCCUUGCCCUUUUCUCUGCCCUGGACCCCUCUCAAAAAGGGGCCUACGUGCCUCCUGGAGCCUCCAGCCUGGGCUCAACUGUGGGGACCCGGGAGACUCAGUUCCUCUCUCUGUCCCCCGCUCGCUCUCCCAGGCCACCUUGAACAGAGGAUCCUGCAGGUGCUGACAGAGGCUGGCUCCCCGGUGAAACUUGCCCAGCUGGUGAAGGAAUGCCAAGCGCCCAAGAGGGAGCUCAACCAAGUCCUCUACCGAAUGAAAAAGGAGCUGAAAGUCUCCCUCACAGCCCCCGCCACCUGGCGCUUGGGCGGGACUGAUCCUGAAGGCGAGGGUCCUGCAGAGCUGGCCUUGUCCAGCCCUGGUAACUGCCACCCUGGGGAGGCGGGUCUGACCCUUGCAGGGAGCAUCCUGGCAAUGGACAAGCACAGAUUUGAGCCUGGGUUCGAAUCUGAGCUCUGCCACAUGGGAGCUCACAGGUUUCCUCUCUGUGCCUUGGUUUCUUUUUCUGGUUGAUGGAGCUCACAGCAGGGCUGCUUGGUAGGGGUUGCUGAGAGGAGGCCCUGUGUCAGGCUCAGCCCAGCCCUGCACACAGGAAGUACUCGGCAGAACACUAACAAAAAUAAUAGAAAAUCAUCAUGAUGGAGGCAGCAACGACGCAAUGGUCCUAAUCACAGAACACAUGCAGUCCCACCCGCCCCCCUUUUCUAGCUUUACAGCCCACAGCCAGAAAGAGCUGCCAUUUAUCAUGCACUUAAGAUUAGCCGGGCACUGUUUGGGGGUUCACCCAGCCCUCACACAACCCCAGGAGGCAAAGGAGGCUGAGCCCCGGAGAAGUUAAUCAGCAGGAAGCCGCAGCUGCCAGGGCGCAGGCAGGAUUUGAAGUCAAGUGUGUUUAACUCUGGAGUCUGAGUUUGCAACUACCGGCCUUGCCACUUAUCCCUAGGGAGCUGCCCACCUUUGUGGGGUGGAGGCCUGGUGCUAUCUUCUGUCCCCCACCCCUCUGACCCAUCUUUCUUUCUCCAGCCGAGAGGCCCCAGCAAUAUGCAGCUAGAAUUCCAGAGACCCCUGGCCCUCAGUUCAGCCAACAACGGGAGGAAGACAUCUACAGGUUUCUCAAAGACAAUGGUCCCCAGAGGGCCCUGGUCAUCGCCCAGGCACUGGGAAUGAGGACAGCAAAAGAUGUGAACCGAGACCUGUACAGGAUGAAGAGCAGGCACCUUCUGGAUGUGGAUGAGCAGUCCAAAGCAUGGACGAUUUACCGCCCAGAAGAUUCUGGAAGAAGAGCAAAGUCGGCCUUAAUUAUGUACCAGCACAAUCCAAUCAACAUGAUCUGCCAGAAUGGACCGAACAGCCAGAUUUCCAUUGCAAACUCUGAAGCCAUCCAGAUUGGACAUGGGAACAUCAUUACAAGUCAGAUAGUCUCCAGGGAGGACGGUUCCACCGGUCCCCGCCACCUCCCUUCAAUGGCACCAGGUGAUUCCUCAACUCGGGGGACCCUAGUUGAUCCCUGGGGGCCCCAGGACAUCCAUAUGGAGCGGUCCAUACUCAGACGGGUGCAGCUGGGACACAGCAACGAGAUGAGGCUUCACGGCGUCCCGUCCGAGGGCCCUGCCCACAGUCCCCCUGGCAGCCCCCCAGUGUUCCAGCGCAGUGGGAAGCAGGCAGCAGACGAGAGAGGAGCUGAAUCCCAGAGGAAGACACUGACGUCCAGAUCAGCUGGGCGGGAUCAGUGGGGCAGACCUACUGCGGGAUCAGUGGGGCAGAAAGACGCUUCCCAGACAGCACAACAGCACGAGCAGAGUCUCUGCCACUGCUGCCGGCCCAGAAGCUUCGUUUGAAGCAAGAAUGCCCAGUCCAGGAGCUCACCCCGAGGGGGAAGCUGCCCAGAUAAUCCACAUGAAAUCGUGCUUUCUCGAGGACGCCACCAUCGGCAACAGCAACAAAAUGUCUAUCAGCCCAGGGGUGGCUGGCCCAGGAGGAGUCGCAGGGUCUGGAGAGGGGGAUCCAGGGGAGGACGCAGGUCCUCGUCCUGCAGACACACAAUCCAGAAGUCACUUUCCUCGAGACAUUGGUCCGUCCAUCACUCCCAGCCACUCGAAGCUCACCCCCAACCUGGAAACUAUGACUCUUGGAAGCAGGAGUCACAAAGCUGCAGAAGGCAGCCACUAUGUGGAUGAAGCCUCACACGAGGGGAGCUGGUGGGGAGGUGGGAUUUAGUGCACAGCCUCAGGUGGGGCUUGGACACAGGCUGGGGGUGGGCGCAUGCUAGGGAAACUAGCCUGCUGCUCUCUGCAUUCCUUAGCGUCUUGUUUGACCUGCUUGCUUCCAGACAUAACUUGCAUGAGUCAGUUUUGGGGGAAUGGACCUGGCAUGGGGAUGGGUUCAGGCCAGGUCUUUUGAUGGCCAGGAGUAGAUGACAGGGAGUUGCCUUGGGGAACCUUUGGUGUGCCGAGAGGAGGUGGGUAGACGGGAGUGGGGCUCGGUCCCCCGGGCCCAGGGGACUCUCCACUCUUUCCUGGGCUCGGGGCGCCUCCCUGGAGUUACCUUCCAUCAUGGCUACCUGCUGUGGUUUGAAUGUUUGAGUCCCAACAAAAUUCAUAUCAAAACAAUCCCAACUGGGUGCAGGGGCUCACGCCUGUAAUCCCAGCACUUUGGGAGGCCGAGGCAGGCGGAUCACGAGGUCAGGAAAUCCAGACCGUCCUGGCUAACAUGGUGAAACCCCGUCUCUACU